This 204-nucleotide ribosomal RNA is filed under the name Enterococcus durans. RNAcentral's name for it is "partial 16S ribosomal RNA". It matches the Rfam family "Bacterial small subunit ribosomal RNA", at positions 1243 to 1444 of the family's 1533-position model. The record is from RNAcentral. Lineage: Bacteria; Bacillati; Bacillota; Bacilli; Lactobacillales; Enterococcaceae.
CCAGUUGCCAAGUCGCGAGGCUAAGCUAAUCUCUUAAAGCUUCUCUCAGUUCGGAUUGCAGGCUGCAACUCGCCUGCAUGAAGCCGGAAUCGCUAGUAAUCGCGGAUCACCACGCCGCGGUGAAUACGUUCCCGGGCCUUGUACACACCGCCCGUCACACCACGAGAGUUUGUAACACCCCGAAAUCUGGUGAGGUAACCUUUU